Molecule: transfer RNA, 16 nt
Filed under: Ceratodon purpureus
Lineage: Eukaryota; Viridiplantae; Streptophyta; Bryopsida; Pseudoditrichales; Ditrichaceae
Also listed under: 75 other names
Description: partial tRNA-Ser
Source: RNAcentral
GGAAAGAGAGGGAUUC